This 424-nucleotide ribosomal RNA is filed under the name uncultured bacterium. Its description in RNAcentral is "partial 16S ribosomal RNA". It matches the Rfam family "Bacterial small subunit ribosomal RNA", at positions 360 to 776 of the family's 1533-position model. The record is from RNAcentral.
AAUAUUGGACAAUGGGCGAAAGCCUGAUCCAGCCAUGCCGCGUGUGUGAAGAAGGUCUUCGGAUUGUAAAGCACUUUAAGUUGGGAGGAAGGGUUGUAGGUUAAUACUCUGCAAUUUUGACGUUACCAACAGAAUAAGCACCGGCUAACUACGUGCCAGCAGCCGCGGUAAUACGUAGGGGGCAAGCGUUAUCCGGAUUUACUGGGUGUAAAGGGAGCGUAGGUGGUUCGUUAAGUUGGAAGUGAAAGCCCCGGGCUUAACCUGGGAAUUGCUUUCAAAACUGACGAGCUAGAGUACGGUAGAGGGUAGUGGAAUUUCCUGUGUAGCGGUGAAAUGCGUAGAUAUAGGAAGGAACAUCAGUGGCGAAGGCGACUACCUGGACUGAUACUGACACUGAGGUGCGAAAGCGUGGGGAGCAAACAGG